Molecule: ribosomal RNA, 424 nt
Filed under: uncultured bacterium
Lineage: Bacteria
Description: partial 16S ribosomal RNA
Rfam family: Bacterial small subunit ribosomal RNA
Source: RNAcentral
AAUCUUCCACAAUGGGCGAAAGCCUGAUGGAGCAACGCCGCGUGAGUGAAGAUGGAUUUCGGUUCGUAAAACUCUGUGGUAAGGGAAGAACAAGUACAGUAGUAACUGGCUGUACCUUGACGGUACCUUAUUAUAAAGCCACGGCUAACUACGUGCCAGCAGCCGCGGUAAUACGUAGGUGGCAAGCGUUGUCCGGAAUUAUUGGGCGUAAAGCGCGCGCAGGUGGUUUCUUAAGUCUGAUGUGAAAGCCCACGGAUCAAACGUGGAGGGUCAUUGGAAACUGGGAGACUUGAGUGAAGAAGAGGAUAGUGGAAUUCCAAGUGUAGCGGUGAAAUGCGUAGAGAUUUGGAGGAACACCAGUGGCGAAGGCGACUAUCUGGUCUGUAACUGACACUGAGGCGCGAAAGCGUGGGGAGCAAACUGG